This 272-nucleotide long non-coding RNA is filed under the name Gallus gallus (chicken). Lineage: Eukaryota; Metazoa; Chordata; Aves; Galliformes; Phasianidae. The record is from RNAcentral.
CCAGGUUGCUGAGCAGCCACGGCGAGUCCGAGUCCUCGCUCAGGUCGGGCUCCGACUCCGAGUCAGAGUCGUACUCACUGUUGUCGUCGUCGUCAGCCGCGGGCAGCAGCGGGGGCCCCACGGCUCGGCCGGGCUGCCCCGCUGCUCCGGCACCUCCUGCUCCUCCCUGCCCGCGUCCCGCAGCAGCGCGCCCUUGAUGCCCAUCACGCCGGGCACCUCCAGCUCCGGCUCCAGCUCUCCCUCCGAGCCGGGUGAGCUCGCCUCUUCGAUGG